GAUGAACGCUGGCGGCGUGCCUAAUACAUGCAAGUCGAGCGAACAGAUAAGGAGCUUGCUCCUUUGACGUUAGCGGCGGACGGGUGAGUAACACGUGGGUAACCUACCUAUAAGACUGGGAUAACUUCGGGAAACCGGAGCUAAUACCGGAUAACAUUUGGAACCGCAUGGUUCUAAAGUGAAAGAUGGUUUUGCUAUCACUUAUAGAUGGACCCGCGCCGUAUUAGCUAGUUGGUAAGGUAACGGCUUACCAAGGCGACGAUACGUAGCCGACCUGAGAGGGUGAUCGGCCAAACUGGAACUGAGACACGGUCCAGACUCCUAAGGGAGGCAGCAGUAGGGAAUCUUCCGCAAUGGGCGAAAGCCUGACGGAGCAACGCCGCGUGAGUGAUGAAGGGUUUCGGAUCGUAAAACUCUGUUAUUAGGGAAGAACAAAUGUGUAAGUAACUGUGCACGUCUUGACGGUACCUAAUCAGAAAGCCACGGCUAACUACGUG
This 497-nucleotide ribosomal RNA is filed under the name uncultured bacterium. Its description in RNAcentral is "partial 16S ribosomal RNA". It matches the Rfam family "Bacterial small subunit ribosomal RNA", at positions 28 to 507 of the family's 1533-position model. The record is from RNAcentral.